Molecule: ribosomal RNA, 255 nt
Filed under: uncultured bacterium
Lineage: Bacteria
Description: partial 16S ribosomal RNA
Rfam family: Bacterial small subunit ribosomal RNA
Source: RNAcentral
UACGUAGGGUGCAAGGCGUUAAUCGGAAUUACUGGGCGUAAAGCGUGCGCAGGCGGUGAUGUAAGACAGGUGUGAAAUCCCCGGGCUUAACCUGGGAACUGCAUUUGUGACUGCAUCGCUGGAGUGCGGCAGAGGGGAUGGAAUUCCGCGUGUAGCAGUGAAAUGCGUAGAUAUGCGGAGGAACACCGAUGGCGAAGGCAGCCCCUGGGCUGAAGAUUGACGGCUCGAGGCACGAAAGCGUGGGGAGCAAACAGG